AGUGUGUCGCUGUGAUCUCGGCGGUCUGGAGGCGGGAAAGUCUCUCUGGGUUUAUCGGGAGCGAGUGAACUGCGCAAACUGCUUCAGUAAAAUCAGAGGUCAGUGGUAUAUUUGAGACAAACGGGCAUCAAUCUACAUGGAGACACUGAAUAUUAAUAAAGACAAUAAUUCAACACAACUGAUCUUAUAAAUUACAGUUGAUUAAGAUGUAAAAUGGCAUAAGGAUAUGAGGCAUGCUUUAUAUUAUAUUCCUGAGGAAAAUGUUUACAGGAUUUAUAUGGUAAUGCUUUCUUGAGGUUGUUAAUGGGCAAAGCUUUGAUAAUUUAUGAGAAUAUAUACUCAAAUAUGCAAAUGCUAUCUGUUCUUUUAAAUUCAUUUGAGUGUAGCUGACAUUGAUGUUCAACUGAAAACAUGAUACGCACAUAAUAAAACUAUAUUCUGAUU
Long non-coding RNA from Sinocyclocheilus rhinocerous, 444 nucleotides. RefSeq lists it as uncharacterized. The record is from RefSeq and is a predicted model, not a curated record. The transcript is spliced from 2 exons. NCBI's taxonomy places the organism in Eukaryota, Metazoa, Chordata, Actinopteri, Cypriniformes, Cyprinidae.